UUUUCUCCCAUUCACCGGGUUUGACCAUCUUACACGUCGUAUUCCCCUUGGGAUCGGCUAGCCUAGGUAGGAGGCGCCGGCGUCCAAGGCUGUGGGGGACGUCGUUGUGUUGGGGCGUUAGGGGACGGGGCGGCGGCCAGGCUUGGGGACGGCAGGCGGCGGCCAGGCUUGGGGACGGCAGGCGGCGGCUGGUGGUGGCGCUAGCAAGCAACGGUGGUGGACGCGACGGACCCGAUAAUACGGACCGACGCAAAACCCGCUUUAUUAGAGCGACCUCUGUCUCCGCCCUCUUCUCAGCAGCUAAAGCAACACGUUAGCCCAUUCUCUCCUCCUCAAACUAACGACAAACACGCCGUUCGUGUCAGGUUUUCCUCAUUAAUAAUAAGCCUCAAACACACAACUCUUCAACAUUGGUCUAUGAGGAGGGAGAGGAGAUUGUUAGAGGAGGGCAAACCUCCUCUCGGCCAGGUUUAUUUGUUUCCUCACCCUCCUCAUCCUCCCCAACGAGUAGAUAGAUUAUUCAACCGUAGGGACUAAACAAAAAGCGGCCGCUAAUCAGACGAAACAACGCGGCCGGGUUUACUUGUAUCGUCCUCGCCUCAUAAGCUUAUUCCGGUCGAGUCCGCAGGCGGUAACAGUGUCUAGGUUAUUCCAGCUAGGCUAAUCGCGUAUAGAGGGCUGUAGUAAUUCCGGUCAACAACCAGGCUAGUCGGUGUUAUUUCGCUGAUAACUUCUGCGACGACUGCUACCUCUGCCCCUGUCUGAAUCGUUCGAGGGUUUACUGGAAAACGAGUUGUAAGACCUCUCCCACCUGUGUGAGCUACGUAAUUCCCGGACGAAGGAGAGGUUCGUUUACGACUUCGAGGGGUGGAACGAGAGCGUUGAGAAGGAUUCGCGACCAAGGUAAGGUCCAGUGGUACUAAGUCGAGCACAAAAGUCUGGUUCACUUCAUGAGGCUUGGUUGGCACGACACCGAGUACAUUGCCUAUUGUAUAACUCGUGUUCCUCGGGCCUCUAGUGGUAGUCGUUUGAGUUUUAGUUUAAGCAGAACUGUGUCGUACUCAGAGAGUGGUAACCGUUUAGACAGCGCGCACGCUACCGUUGGGUCUUCAAACCGCGUCGGCUCAAACUCCAGUGUUGCCUGUUCCGAAUAUUCUAGACGAGAGGACGACUAAAGGAGGUGAAACCCUUCGUCAAGUUACUAAAACAGCCACGAACAGGCCUACGUAAACGACCGGAAUGCGCGGACACCGACGCGUUAUACUCCAAACCACUUAAGCUGUAGGGGUUGUAGGAGUCGUGAACGUUCGAGAACCUCAGAAACGCAAAUUCGGUAACGCUGAGUCCCUAGGUAAGACACGACGUUCAUCUUGUACGAGUUGAACGACUCGAGCUCUAGCUGGUCCCCUUUAAACUCUCUCAACUCGACUAUACAGAUGGUUUUGAGGUUGCACACUCUAUAUUAUUAACCACGAGAAUACUUCUAGGGGAUAUAAAACCAAAACGUGGUGUCGAAAGCUUCGAGUAGGAGUGAUUUUGACGACAGGCAAGCGUUUUCUGGGAACUCAAUUCAGUCGAGGAACGAUUACAAAGAAGGUAUUCGCUAGAAGUAGACCUAAAAUCUUCACUUUUCUAAACCCAGGACGGUCUUACGGGUUUUGACGAGUGCGGACACGAGUCGUUUGAUGUCGUACACUUAGACCUGGUAGAAGGACUUCCGACACUAAAUCGAACCUGUUACAAAUAAGAACUUCGACGUGGGAGGAAUUUUCUCGACACGUAGUGUAAUACCCUAGUAACCACGUAUUACUGCUGUCUGUUACUCAAAGCCUUCUUUAUACCAAAGACACUUUUCUAGCUGUACUUCACCUUCGGUAUACGGGGACUAAAGUUCGUGUUCUUAGACCGAUUCGAGUGGUAGAUACCGAAGGUUGGGCUGCUGUUGGAAGACGCUAUGUAAUCCAGACAGUACCUUGUACGCCAAUUAUACCGUCUCUAUAGAGACGUACUGUCCUUCCACACACACUCGACAUCACUGAACCUAAGACUCUAGUUCCUGUUCAAAACAGGUAGUUCUAUAGGUGCUUGACGGCUCUUCUCCUUCGUCUGUUGGCUCCUCAAUCCAAGCGAACGAUACUAAGUGAAGUCCAGGAUUAAGUUUUUUACAAAAAGAAGCUUUUAGUGGACAAGAUAGUAGAAAAUCAACCUUCCUCAAGGACUUGGAGUAUUAAGACAUCAAUGGUUCAGACAUGAGGACUAAAGGAAUUCAACUUCGCACACAUGAUAACGGAUUAACUCCUUUAUACAUCAUUCAAGCUUGUUGCAUAAACACCGGUGGAAAAAUAAACUUUGGUUUACGAACUACGUAUCCUUAUUCAACUACACAAG
Molecule: ribosomal RNA, 2388 nt
Filed under: Triticum aestivum (bread wheat)
Lineage: Eukaryota; Viridiplantae; Streptophyta; Magnoliopsida; Poales; Poaceae
Description: partial small subunit ribosomal RNA
Source: RNAcentral